Non-coding RNA from Misgurnus anguillicaudatus (oriental weatherfish), 1882 nucleotides. The record is from RefSeq and is a predicted model, not a curated record. NCBI's taxonomy places the organism in Eukaryota, Metazoa, Chordata, Actinopteri, Cypriniformes, Cobitidae.
AGCUAACGUAGUAACGGCUUAAAGUUACUCUGAACUUAUAUAUGGUAUACCAUAAAGUAUGUUUAAUGAUAGUCAAAGUUAUUACUUUAACUUAUUUAUGUAGCCUUUUGAGAGUUUCUUUCAGAAAGUAAAUUAUCUGAAAGAGAAAAGUCAUUUGGCAUGAUGGUAAUGAUAACAUUGCAGAUGUAAAAUGUUAAAUACUGUUCUGUAUUAAAAGCUCAGUGUAAGUGUUUGAUUAACUUCCUUUGCUUUUGUUUUGUACAAAGGAAAAGCAGAACCUAAUCCAAAUAAAAAUAAACAAGCUGUUAAAAGGACUGUGUCCUACCCAGAUCCUCCUCCAAAAUAUAACCAUUCAAAAUCCAAUCCAUUUGAAAAUACACUUAAACAAAUGGGAGAUGUUAUUUGUGGUGUAAAUAUCAUUAAUUACAAUUUCAUUUUAAUUACAGUUGAAGAUCAACACAAACCAAAUAAAGAUGUUGCAGAUUCUACAAACAAUAAAAAAUAAGAUCAAGUUUUGUGUCCAACACACUUGGAUGAGACGUGCCUGACUUUGUCUACCCUACAUUAAGUUGUGAUGGCACACAUCAUGACAGUAAACAUCGGUAUCAAGAUGGUGUGAUUGAUCUAUACCCUAGAAUAAGCUGUGACACUGAUGCUGUUGUUUCCGCUAUAUACAUUCUACCGUGGCGGGCCGCCGCGCAUAAAACAUCCCCGCCACGCCUGCGGUUGUGGAUAGAAGGGAUACAGCAAACGAAAUCUCGCCAGAUGAGCACUGUUUUAUCCUAAUCCUUCACCCAAACCCAACUCUAAACACAAAAUUAACACGAUUGUAGGAUGUAUUUGUAUCUUAUUUAGCCAGAGCCGCUGUGUUCAUCCUAAUAAUCCUACCUCCAAAUCUAAUCGCCGAUUUAUCGUGCAUCACAAGAUUUCACAUUAGUGGCAACACAGCUUGGAGUAUAAACAUUUACAUUUCUCUGAAUCUGAGUUAAUAGUUACAAAUACAGAGCUUAUAAUGUCUGUCAUUGCAACCACAAAGACCUAAAAGUACAGCCAGCUGAUUUCAUAACUAAUGCAGUACUGUAAAGUUAUUUACUGUUAAAAUAUUACACUACCAUAACAUUAACUCUAUUUGUACAGGUGAAGUAACACAACGAAAAAAUUACCGGAUGGAGACUACCUGAUUCUUCACCUAUGGCCUCAGCUUCAAAUGCAAGAAGUCCAGAAACUGUCUUGAGUUGGUGGAUAUUCUGUCAGAGACUGCGUGAACAACGUUAUGAACAGAAUGAUGUCUAAUUGUCUUAUGGCAAAGUUCAAUAUGAGGGGUGGUGGACAUCUGGAAAAGAAGUCUUUUAAAGGCACACCUUUGUAUUAUGUUAUUCAAGAUGCUGUGAAGAGGUGGAGCCCAAAUGCCACAGACUCAGAAAUAGAUGCAGCUAUGGCAGACCACCUCAAGCACGCUCCAGGAAGAGCUGGGGGUGGUGGAUACAAAAAAGCCUAACAGCUGUGAUGUGUUAAAGAGAGAGUUCACCAAAAAAGGAAAAUUGUUAUAAUUUUCUUAUCCACAUCUUUCAAACCUGUAUACCUUUAUAUUUUCUGCUGAACACAAAGAUUGAAGAAUGUUUGUAACUUCACAACCAAUUAACUGUCAAUAUUUUUUUUUUACAAUUGUAGUAAUGGGUUGUGAGAUCUGCUUUGUUAAAAACAUUAUUUCAAAUAUCUUUGUGUUCAGCAGAACAUAGAAAGGUAUACAGGUUUGAAACAUGAGAGGGAAUAAAUGACUAAAUAUUAAUUUUUGGGUGAACUAUCCCUUUAUAGAAAGUGUUUUGAAAUUGUUAUUAUAGUUAAAUGGUUAAAAAAUAAAAAGUGCUAAAUCAGAACAUGC